Molecule: long non-coding RNA, 1329 nt
Organism: Cyprinus carpio (common carp)
Lineage: Eukaryota; Metazoa; Chordata; Actinopteri; Cypriniformes; Cyprinidae
Source: Ensembl
UGACUAGAUUUGCAAAGUCCAAACUUUCCUCAAUAUUCACAAAUGUCCUCACUCUUCACAAAUGUGCUCACUAUUCACAAAUGUCCUCACUAUUCACAAAUGUGCUCACUCUUAACAAAUGUGCUCGCUAUUCACAAAUGUCCUCACUAUUCACAAAUGUGCUCACUCUUCACAAAUGUGAUCACUAUUCACGAAUGUCCUCAUUAUUCACAAAUGUGCUCACACUUCAGAAAUGUACUCACUAUUCACAAAUGUCCUCACUAUUCGCAAAUGUCCUCACUAUUCACAAAUGUCCUCACUAUUCACAAAUGUCCUCACUCUUCACAAAUGUCCUCACUCCUCACUAUUUACGAAUGCCCUCACUAUUCACAAAUGUGCUCACUCUUAACAAAUGUGCUCACUAUUCACAAAUGUGCUCACUCUUCACAAAUGUGCUCACUAUUCACGAAUGUCCUCACUCUUCACACAUGUGCUCGCUCUUCACAAAUGUGCUCACUAUAUACAAAUGUCCUCACUAUUCCCAAAUGUCCUCACUAUUUACGAUUGCCCUCACUUUUCCCAAAUGUGCUCACUCUUUACAAAUGUGCUCACUAUCCACAAAUGUCAUUAUUCACGAAUGUGCUCACUCUUAACGAAUGUGCUCACUAUUCACAAAUGUGCUCACUCUUCACAAAUGUGCUCACUAUUCGCAAAUGUGCUCACUCUUCACAAAUGUGCUCACUCUUCACAAAUGUGCUCACUAUUCACAAAUGUCAUUAUUCACGAAUGUGCUCACUCUUAACAAACGUGCUCACUCUUCACAGAUGUGCUCACUAUUCACAGAUGUCCUCACUCUUCACAAAUGUGCUCACUAUAUACAAAUGUCCUCACUAUUCACAAAUGUGCUCACUAUUCACAAAUGUGGUCACUAUCCACAGAUGUCCUCACUAUUCAAAAAUGUCCUCACUAUUCACAAAUGUCCUCACUCUUCACAAAUGUGCUCACAAAUAUAGUGAAAGCUGUUUUUAAAUAUUAAAGUGUAAUGAUAGCAGGUUUCUGCAGCAGCGGCUCGGUUCUGUUCCCGUUGACAGAUGCUGCUUUCAGAUGAUUCUGUGUGUGUUUGUUUGUCUGUGAAGAGCAUCAACACUUUCUAUUUACAUUGUGUUUCUGCAGCGCUGAUCACUGUAGUCAAUCACAGACGUGUUUGUUGAGCAUGUGAACACAGCGUCCAAUUAGAGGCAUUUAUUCAGAAUUCACUCAAUACACCAAUUUAGUUUGUUCAGCGUGAGCUCUCCCAUAUGGCAAAAAAUAUAUAUUUUUCAUGGAAUAUAUGCUAAAUAUAUGUUGCAA